CCUACGGGAGGCAGCAGUGGGGAAUAUUGCACAAUGGGGGGAACCCUGAUGCAGCAACGCCGCGUGGGUGAAGAAGUACUCAGGUAUUUAAAGCCCUGUCAGCAGGGAAGAAAAUGACGGUACCUGACCAAGAAGCCCCAGCUAACUACGUACCAGCAGCCGCGGUAAUACGUAGGGGGCAAGCGUUAGCCGGAUUUACUGGGUGUAAAGGGAGCGUAGACGGCAAGGCAAGUCUGACGUGAAAGCCUGUGGCACAACCACGGGACUGCUUUUGAAACUGGGUUGCUGGAGUGCAGGAGGGGUAAGCGGAAUUCCUGGUGUAGCGGUGAAAUGCGUAGAUAUUAGGAGGAACACCGGUGGCGAAGGCGGCUUACUGGACUGUAACUGACGUUGAGGCUCGAAGGCGUGGGGAGCAAACAGGAUUAGAUACCCGUGUAGUC
RNAcentral lists this ribosomal RNA (440 nucleotides) under uncultured bacterium. Its description in RNAcentral is "partial 16S ribosomal RNA". It matches the Rfam family "Bacterial small subunit ribosomal RNA", at positions 338 to 795 of the family's 1533-position model. The record is from RNAcentral.